UUGCAACAACAAAUAGUAUUGGGGUGUUAU
RNAcentral lists this non-coding RNA (30 nucleotides) under Rattus norvegicus (Norway rat). The record is from RNAcentral. Lineage: Eukaryota; Metazoa; Chordata; Mammalia; Rodentia; Muridae.